RNAcentral lists this ribosomal RNA (458 nucleotides) under Panorpa liui. RNAcentral describes it as "partial 28S ribosomal RNA". The record is from RNAcentral. Lineage: Eukaryota; Metazoa; Arthropoda; Insecta; Mecoptera; Panorpidae.
AAACCUGAGAAACCCGAAAGUUCGAAUGAGAAGAUUCAGUAUCUUACAUUUGGUCGACCAUUUCUAUUUUAUGUGAUAAUUUUUAAUGUCAUUUAUUUGUCAUUAAUAUUACACUAAUUUGUUAUGCAGAUUGGCUAUGGAGAUAUGCACUUCUUCUCUAGUAGGACGUUGCAACCCAUUGGAUGUUAAUCUAAGGUCCCUUAUGGUAGCCUAUUUUAUAUAUAUUUCGGUAUAUGUGAUUUAGACCUUAGGUGUAUUACCUGAUUAACUUGUUCGAUGGUAGAUUAUAAUAUUGGGCCGCCUAUAUGGCAUUCAAAUUAUUUUCAAGUGUGUACGGAUAAAAUUUUGGCUAACAGACCUAGUGCUGUUACUGAAACCGUUAUACUGCUGGAAUUUAAUAUAUUGAAUAGACCUAGUAUAUUGAUUAGCAACGCUUUAGCUUUGGGUACUUUCAGGAC